CCUACGGGUGGCAGCAGUGGGGAAUAUUGGACAAUGGGCGAAAGCCUGAUCCAGCCAUGCCGCGUGUGUGAAGAAGGCCUUCGGGUUGUAAAGCACUUUCAGUGGGGAAGAAAGCCUUGGGGCUAAUACCCUCGAGGAAGGACAUCACCCACAGAAGAAGCACCGGCUAACUCCGUGCCAGCAGCCGCGGUAAUACGGAGGGUGCGAGCGUUAAUCGGAAUUACUGGGCGUAAAGCGCGCGUAGGCGGUCUGAUAAGCCGGUUGUGAAAGCCCCGGGCUCAACCUGGGAACGGCAUCCGGAACUGUCAGGCUAGAGUGCAGGAGAGGAAGGUAGAAUUCCCGGUGUAGCGGUGAAAUGCGUAGAGAUCGGGAGGAAUACCAGUGGCGAAGGCGGUCUUCUGGACUGACACUGACGCUGAGGUGCGAAAGCGUGGGUAGCAAACAGGAUUAGAUACCCUUGUAGUC
RNAcentral lists this ribosomal RNA (465 nucleotides) under Vreelandella stevensii. Its description in RNAcentral is "partial 16S ribosomal RNA". It matches the Rfam family "Bacterial small subunit ribosomal RNA", at positions 338 to 795 of the family's 1533-position model. The record is from RNAcentral. Lineage: Bacteria; Pseudomonadati; Pseudomonadota; Gammaproteobacteria; Oceanospirillales; Halomonadaceae.